RNAcentral lists this ribosomal RNA (468 nucleotides) under uncultured bacterium. RNAcentral describes it as "partial 16S ribosomal RNA". It matches the Rfam family "Bacterial small subunit ribosomal RNA", at positions 28 to 507 of the family's 1533-position model. The record is from RNAcentral.
GACGAACGCUGGCGGCGUGCUUAACACAUGCAAGUCGAACGGAAAGGCCCUGCUUUUGUGGGGUGCUCGAGUGGCGAACGGGUGAGUAACACGUGAGUAACCUGCCCUUGACUUUGGGAUAACUUCAGGAAACUGGGGCUAAUACCGGAUAGGAGCUCCUGCUGCCUGUUGGGGGUUGGAAAGUUUCGGCGGUUGGGGAUGGACUCGCGGCUUCUUGGCUUGUUGGGGGGGUAGUGGCUUAGCAGGGCUUUGACGGGUAGCCGGCCUGGGGGGGUGACCGGCCACAUUGGGACUGAGAUACGGCCCAGACUCCGACGGGGGUGAGCAGUGGGGAAUUUUGCACAAUGGGCGGAAGCCUGAUGCAGCAACGCCGCGUGCGGGAUGACGGCCUUCGGGUUGUAAACCGCUUUCGCCUGUUACGAAGCGUGAGUGACGGUAAUGGGUAAAGAAGCACCGGCUAACUACGGG